This 619-nucleotide ribosomal RNA is filed under the name Trechus quadristriatus. Its description in RNAcentral is "SSU rRNA". It matches the Rfam family "Eukaryotic small subunit ribosomal RNA", at positions 14 to 603 of the family's 1831-position model. The record is from RNAcentral. Lineage: Eukaryota; Metazoa; Arthropoda; Insecta; Coleoptera; Carabidae. RNAcentral also lists the same sequence under 5 other names.
CUGCCAGUAGUCAUAUGCUUGUCUCAAAGAUUAAGCCAUGCAUGUCUCAGUACAAGCCAUAUUAAGGUGAAACCGCGAAAGGCUCAUUAAAUCAGUUAUGGUUCCUUAGAUCGUACCCACAUUUACUUGGAUAACUGUGGUAAUUCUAGAGCUAAUACAUGCAAACAGAGCUCCGACCGGAGACGGAAGGAGUGCUUUUAUUAGAUCAAAACCAAUCGGCGGCAAUUGGGUUUACUUAAUUGUUCGUCGCACUUUUUGGUGACUCUGAAUAACUUUUGGCUGAUCGCACGGUCUCGCACCGGCGACGCAUCUUUCAAAUGUCUGCCUUAUCAACUGUCGAUGGUAGGUUCUGCGCCUACCAUGGUUGUAACGGGUAACGGGGAAUUAGGGUUCGAUUCCGGAGAGGGAGCCUGAGAAACGGCUACCACAUCCAAGGAAGGCAGCAGGCGCGCAAAUUACCCACUCCCGGCACGGGGAGGUAGUGACGAAAAAUAACGAUACGGGACUCAUCCGAGGCCCCGUAAUCGGAAUGAGUACACUUUAAAUCCUUUAACAAGGACCAAUUGGAGGGUAAGUCUGGUGCCAGCAGCCGCGGUAAUUCCAGCUCCAAUAGCGUAUA